Molecule: ribosomal RNA, 560 nt
Filed under: uncultured bacterium
Lineage: Bacteria
Description: bacterial SSU rRNA
Rfam family: Bacterial small subunit ribosomal RNA
Source: RNAcentral
UAUUGGACAAUGGGCGAAAGCCUGAUCCAGCAAUGCCGCGUGAGUGAAGAAGGCCUUCGGGUUGUAAAGCUCUUUCAGUCGAGAAGAAAAAAUUAUGACUAAUAAUCAUAGUUGAUGACGGUAUCGACAGAAGAAGCACCGACUAACUACGUGCCAGCAGCCGCGGUAAUACGUAGGGUGCGAGCGUUAAUCGGAAUUACUGGGCGUAAAGGGUGCGCAGGCGGUUUUGUAAGUCAGAUGUGAAAUCCCCGGGCUUAACCUGGGAAUUGCGUUUGAAACUACAAAUCUAGAGUGUGGCAGAGGGAGGUGGAAUUCCAUGUGUAGCAGUGAAAUGCGUAGAGAUAUGGAAGAACAUCGAUGGCGAAGGCAGCCUCCUGGGCUAACACUGACACUCGUGCACGAAAGCGUGGGGAGCAAACAGGAUUAGAUACCCUGGUAGUCCACGCCCUAAACUAUGUCAACUAGUUGUUGGGCCUUAAUAGGCUUGGUAACGUAGCUAACGCGUGAAGUUGACCGCCUGGGGAGUACGGUCGCAAGAUUAAACUCAAAGGAAUUGACGG